AGUCGAACGGAUCCUUCGGGAUUAGUGGCAGACGGGUGAGUAACGCGUGGGAAGCUACCUUGUGGUAGGGGACAACAGUUGGAAACGACUGCUAAUACCCUAUGAGCCCUAUGGGGGAAAGAUUUAUCGCCAUGAGAUGUGCCCGCGUUAGAUUAGCUAGUUGGUAAGGUAAUGGCUUACCAAGGCGACGAUCUAUAGCUGGUCUGAGAGGAUGAUCAGCCACACUGGGACUGAGACACGGCCCAGACUCCUACGGGAGGCAGCAGUGGGGAAUAUUGGACAAUGGGGGCAACCCUGAUCCAGCCAUGCCGCGUGUGUGAUGACGGCCUUAGGGUUGUAAAGCACUUUCAGCAGUGAAGAUAAUGACAUUAACUGCAGAAGAAGCCCCGGCUAACUUCGUGCCAGCAGCCGCGGUAAUACGAAGGGGGCUAGCGUUGUUCGGAAUCACUGGGCGUAAAGAGUACGUAGGCGGACUGAUAAGUUAGGGGUGAAAUCCCAAGGCUCAACCUUGGAACUGCCUUUGAUACUGUCAGUCUUGAGAUCGAGAGAGGUGAGUGGAAACUCCGAGUGUAGAGGUGAAAUUCGUAGAUAUUCGGAAGAACACCAGUGGCGAAGGCGGCUCACUGGCUCGAUACUGACGCUGAGGUACGAAAGCGUGGGGAGCAAACAGGAUUAGAUACCCUG
This 684-nucleotide ribosomal RNA is filed under the name Pseudovibrio sp. AU582. RNAcentral's name for it is "bacterial SSU rRNA". It matches the Rfam family "Bacterial small subunit ribosomal RNA", at positions 60 to 789 of the family's 1533-position model. The record is from RNAcentral. Lineage: Bacteria; Pseudomonadati; Pseudomonadota; Alphaproteobacteria; Hyphomicrobiales; Stappiaceae.